AAUGCCCUACGGGAGGCAGCAGUGGGGGAUAUUGCACAAUGGGGGAAACCCUGAUGCAGCGACGCCGCGUGAGGGAAGACUGCCCUAUGGGUUGUAAACCUCUUUUGUCAGGGAGCAAUUGGCGCUACGUGUAGCGUUAUCGAGAGUACCUGAAGAAAAAGCAUCGGCUAACUCCGUGCCAGCAGCCGCGGUAAUACGGAGGAUGCGAGCGUUAUCCGGAUUUAUUGGGUUUAAAGUGUGCGUAGGCGGAAUGCCAAGUCAGCGGUAAAAUCGCGGGGCUCAACCUCGCUCCUCCGUUGUAACUG
RNAcentral lists this ribosomal RNA (305 nucleotides) under uncultured bacterium. Its description in RNAcentral is "bacterial SSU rRNA". It matches the Rfam family "Bacterial small subunit ribosomal RNA", at positions 333 to 635 of the family's 1533-position model. The record is from RNAcentral.